Molecule: long non-coding RNA, 2377 nt
Organism: Cynoglossus semilaevis (tongue sole)
Lineage: Eukaryota; Metazoa; Chordata; Actinopteri; Pleuronectiformes; Cynoglossidae
Exons: 3
Source: RefSeq, a predicted model, not a curated record
UGAAGGGCAAAAAGUUACCAACAAAAAACAAAAAACAACACAAACAAAGGAAAGUGAAUGUAGCACAAUCCAACGUAUGACGUACAACCAGGAAUGUAAAGAAAGUCGAACUAGUAGCCAACUUUUAACACUGUACGUCGGAUGGAACAAGACUUUCUUAACGAAUCGGAAACGGCAGCGUAACAACGAAAAGCCUGAGUUGAGGUCGCUUUAAACCCGUUUAUUUCAGGUGAGUCAUCACCCCAGGCCUUAUACAACAGACAGCAGGAACUGGAGCAACACUUUUCUUCCAUCUUUGAGAGACUUUCUUUCGUAGACGGAGGAGAAGGGACCCCAACAUCAGACAUCAGCAUCAAAAUACAUAUCGUUCUCUACAGGUUUUCCAUCUCAGUGGACCAGUCCUUUAAUCUGCACAUUGGAGGAAAACUGACCCUCCCAGUGACACACACGAUCCAUCCACCAGUGACAGGAAACAUCCAGGUCUGUCUGAGAAGCAAUUCUACACAUUUUGUUCAUCCUCUGUACUUAAUGGAUUUCAAAGUCUUUAAAGAGAAUCUUUAAUACAUGAAUGAUAAUAAUAAUUGUGAGCUAUGAGCUCAGCCGCUUGGAAACAUCAGAGCUAAAACAUUUCCGUUGCCUGUGAGCAGACGGAUGACGUUAAGAUGCUAAAUAAAAAUAAAGCUGUCUCCUUCCGCUCGACGCUCAGAUAUUUAUAUAUUGUACAUAUUAUAUUAACAGUAAAGUAAAUUUAGCUGACGGUGUUUGAUAAAGACAGAAACUAAUCACCAGUUACAGUCUGUAGCUGCAGCGUAACUACAACAACAGAAAUAAACAACAGAUGGAUGUGGAUGAGUGUGGUGUCAGGUGGUGAGAGGCUCGUGAUCCAUAAACCUGUGCUUGGCUGAAGAGCAUUAUCAUUACCUAUGUACCUCUACAGGUCCACAGCCCAGUGGUUGGAGACCUCAGGUGUAUAAACCUCUGACCGGUUUAGACUCAUUAUUAUUCACAUCAUCCCUCAGCCUUUAAGAACUAAUCCCAGAACUGUGGUUGAAACCCCGGACCCACAGGGCACCGUGGGCUCCUUCAGUCCAUUACACACUGUGCAGGGGCAGGAAUAGCUUUUAAUCCAGUAUCCCUGCAGAGAUGGAGAACCUCCAACUCCAACUGUGACGAUUAUCUAAAGGCAGGCUCACUUCACCAGCUCAUUCUCCCAAAAUGCACCUGUUUUACAGUGUGAAUGAUUGUCAUGAGUGAGAUAACCAGCCAGGUGUUUUCUCCAGCCUCCAGCUCUGAAGCUCUCUCUCCUUUACUGUAGGAGUUCUAUCCAUGGACUCUUUCUUUUCUUCUUUCAGCAUAAGAUUUUGAGGCACCUGCUCAGAAACAGAUGGAGAUGAAUAUUCUGGUUCAGUGAACCAGCCUGAAAAGCAAAUCAUCAAUUCAGGUCCGCAUGAACAAAUAUGGAGCCGUGAGACAAAAGUUAGUGGAAACAAAUACUAACCAAAUUUAGUAAAUAUUGCAUCGUUUUGUCUGAACAUAAUUCCCUGUCGACCACUCCAAAAGAAUUAGGAAUUCAUCCUGACCAUGGUUUGCCUCGAGGCACUUCUUCACUUUCCAAUAUAUGAACAAAAAAGGAAUCCUUGUUGAUGCUGUUUAAACAUGAAAGGUGUUUAUUUAUCUCAGGAAAGGAAGAUGGUAUCCUUCAUCAUCCGUCAGAGCGUGUUAAAGGUUAAAGAAGAGAUGAGACAGGAGUUUGGCAAACAUGUGAGCAGGUAGGGCUGGAGCACAGCUGUGGUUUCAGUCACGUCCUCAUUAAAACCAACAGCUUCAUCAUCAAACAGCUGCCUCUAAAUGAGCUGCUUUUACUUUUAAUGUCCUUCACGGAACACACACACACACACACAGAGAGAGAGAGAGAGCGAGAGAGAGCGAGCGAGCGAGCGACACCUCUGCCACUCACUGAUAGUCAGGUCGACGAUUCUUUAACUGUGAACACUUUGAGCUUCUGGAAGUUUCUUAUUAGGUCCAUAAGUCACAGCGGAAGAAAGUGAGUGUGUGUCACAUCUGCAGGCUUUUUAAUUGAUGACGCCAAUCUCAGUGCGGUGUCAGCGCAUACUCACACACACGUACUCACACACACACAGAUCCCUGUUCUGCAGACAUAGACAUCUUGGUCAAGGAGAGUCCAGGGCUCUGGUACGACUCCAUGUUUCAUGACUUACCUUUAGAGUCCAGCCAGUGCAGCAGACAAACAUCUGAAGCUGCUCCUCAUCACCACCACAGCUCGAACGACAACAAACUGUAGGAAAAGUCACUUUUCAGCAUCUGCGCUCCAUCAACGACCAGUGAGUCUAUGCGUCAAAAACACCUUGACUGUAAA